Molecule: ribosomal RNA, 122 nt
Filed under: Ensete ventricosum
Lineage: Eukaryota; Viridiplantae; Streptophyta; Magnoliopsida; Zingiberales; Musaceae
Source: RNAcentral
GGGUGUAAUCAUACCAACACUAAAGCACCGGAUCCGAUCAGAACUCUUAAGUUAAGCGUGUUUGGGUGUGAGUAGUACUAGGAUGGGUGACCCCCUGGGAAGUCCUCAUGUUGCACCCGUUU